CAUGCCCUUUGGUACGGGAUAGCCUCGGGAAACUGGGUGUAAUACCGUAUGUGCCCUUCGGGGGAAAGAUUUAUCGCCAAAGGAUUGGCCCGCGUUGGAUUAGGUAGUUGGUGGGGUAAUGGCCUACCAAGCCGACGAUCCAUAGCUGGUUUGAGAGGAUGAUCAGCCACACUGGGACUGAGACACGGCCCAGACUCCUACGGGAGGCAGCAGUGGGGAAUCUUAGACAAUGGGGGCAACCCUGAUCUAGCCAUGCCGCGUGAUCGAUGAAGGCCUUAGGGUUGUAAAGAUCUUUCAGUGGGGAAGAUAAUGACGGUACCCACAGAAGAAGCCCCGGCUAACUCCGUGCCAGCAGCCGCGGUAAUACGGAGGGGGCUAGCGUUAUUCGGAAUUACUGGGCGUAAAGCGCACGUAGGCGGAUUGACAAGUCAGAGGUGAAAUCCCGGGGCUCAACCCCGGAACGGCCUUUGAAACUGUUUGUCUUGAGGUCGAGAGAGGUGAGUGGAAUUCCGAGUGUAGAGGUGAAAUUCGUAGAUAUUCGGAGGA
RNAcentral lists this ribosomal RNA (546 nucleotides) under uncultured Rhodobacter sp. Its description in RNAcentral is "bacterial SSU rRNA". It matches the Rfam family "Bacterial small subunit ribosomal RNA", at positions 125 to 705 of the family's 1533-position model. Lineage: Bacteria; Pseudomonadati; Pseudomonadota; Alphaproteobacteria; Rhodobacterales. The record is from RNAcentral.